This 410-nucleotide ribosomal RNA is filed under the name uncultured bacterium. Its description in RNAcentral is "partial 16S ribosomal RNA". It matches the Rfam family "Bacterial small subunit ribosomal RNA", at positions 355 to 755 of the family's 1533-position model. The record is from RNAcentral.
UGGGGAAUUUUGGACAAUGGGCGAAAGCCUGAUCCAGCAAUGCCGCGUGUGUGAAGAAGGCCUUCGGGUUGUAAAGCACUUUUGUCCGGAAAGAAAUCCUUGGCUCUAAUACAGUCGGGGGAAUGACGGUACCGGAAGAAUAAGCACCGGCUAACUACGUGCCAGCAGCCGCGGUAAUACGUAGGGUGCAAGCGUUAAUCGGAAUUACUGGGCGUAAAGCGUGCGCAGGCGGUUUGCUAAGACCGAUGUGAAAUCCCCGGGCUCAACCUGGGAACUGCAUUGGUGACUGGCAGGCUAGAGUAUGGCAGAGGGGGGUAGAAUUCCACGUGUAGCAGUGAAAUGCGUAGAGACUGUGGAGGAAUACCGAUGGCGAAGGCAGCCCCCUGGGCCAAUACUGACGCUCAUGCACG